RNAcentral lists this transfer RNA (100 nucleotides) under Gemmatimonadota bacterium. RNAcentral's name for it is "tRNA-OTHER". Lineage: Bacteria; Pseudomonadati; Gemmatimonadota. The record is from RNAcentral.
UGCUGUGUAGAUCUCAACUGGUAGAGUGGAGACCGGCAAGCCAGACCGCCCGGGCGGGGCUUGUCGCCUCGGGUUGCGGGUUCGAGUCCCGUCACAGCGC